GAUAGCCGCGGGAAACUGCGGGUAAUACUCGAUGCUGUCCUAGGGUCAUAUGACCUCUGGAUGAAAGGCGGGGAUCUUCGGACCUGUCGGCAGGAGAGCGGNCCAUAUGCUAUCAGCUAGUUGGUGAGGUAACGGCUCACCAAGGCGACGACGGCUAGCGGAGCUGAGAGGUUGGCCCGCCGCACUGGGACUGAGACACUGCCCAGACUCCUACGGGAGGCUGCAGUAACGAAUCUUCCGCAAUGGGCGAAAGCCUGACGGAGCAAUGCCGCGUGUGGGAAUAAGCUCUUCGGAGUGUAAACCACUGUCAGGGGUUACCAAGCAAUGGGAGCUAAUAUCUCCCGGCGUUGAGGAGCCCCAGAGGAAGCCACGGCUAACUUCGUGCCAGCAGCCGCGGUAAUACGAAGGUGGCGAGCGUUAUUCGGAAUCACUGGGCUUAAAGAGCACGUAGGCGGAAUACCAAGCGUCUUGUGAAAUCCCUCGGCUCAACCGAGGAAUUGCAGGGCGAACUGGUAUUCUUGAGGCAGGUAAGGGUGAGUGGAACUCUUGGUUGGAGCGGUGGAAUGCGUAGAUAUCAAGAGGAACGCCGGAGGUGAAGACGACUCACUGGGCCUGUCCUGACGCUGAGGUGCGAAAGCCAGGGGAGCGAACGGGAUUAGAUACCCCGGUAGUCCUGGCCAUAAACGAUGUCCACUAGGUCGAUGACAUUCUGACAUGGUGUCGGCCGAAAGAAAACCGUUAAGUGGACCGCCUGGGGAGUACGGUCGCAAGGCUAAUACUCAAAGGAAUUGACGGGGGCUCACACAAGCGGUGGAGCAUGUUGCUUAAUUCGAUGCAACGCGAAGAACCUUAUCCUGGGCUUGACAUGCUUGGAUGCCCACCUGGAAACAGGGAUCGGCUGCCAUUCGGGGUGAAACUUGCACAGGUGCUGCAUGGCUGUCGUCAGCUCGUGUCGUGAGAUGUUGGGUUAAGUCCCGUAACGAGCGAAACCCUUGUCGUUAGUUGCCAGCGGGUCAUGCCGGGGACUCUAACGAGACUGCCGGUGUCAAACCGGAGGAAGGUGGGGAUGACGUCAAGUCCUCAUGGCCUUUAUGCC
RNAcentral lists this ribosomal RNA (1096 nucleotides) under uncultured organism. Its description in RNAcentral is "bacterial SSU rRNA". It matches the Rfam family "Bacterial small subunit ribosomal RNA", at positions 142 to 1208 of the family's 1533-position model. The record is from RNAcentral.